This 314-nucleotide RNase P RNA is filed under the name Apibacter adventoris. RNAcentral's name for it is "Bacterial RNase P class A". It matches the Rfam family "Bacterial RNase P class A". Rfam says of the family: Ribonuclease P (RNase P) is a ubiquitous endoribonuclease, found in archaea, bacteria and eukarya as well as chloroplasts and mitochondria. Its best characterised activity is the generation of mature 5'-ends of tRNAs by cleaving the 5'-leader elements of precursor-tRNAs. Lineage: Bacteria; Pseudomonadati; Bacteroidota; Flavobacteriia; Flavobacteriales; Weeksellaceae. The record is from Rfam by way of RNAcentral.
AAAGCAAAUCAACCUUGUUGCUUUCAUUUUUAAUGAAAGAGGAAAGUCCGGACACCAUAGGAUAUCACAGCGGGUAACGCCCGUCCACUGUAAAGUGAGGACAAGUGCAACAGAAAGCAAGUACAGUUAGGCUGUAGUGAAAUCAGGUAAACUCUGUGAGGUGCAAUGCUAUGUAUACCGACUUAUAAGGGUUAUCCGUCCGAUGUCGGGGGGUAAGCAGUUUGAAGUAAGAAGUAAUUCUUAUUCUAGAUAAAUAACAGGGCUUUUUCAGAACUGAAAAAUGACAGAAUCCGGCUUAUUGAUUUGCUUUUUUC